Small nucleolar RNA from Nannospalax galili (Upper Galilee mountains blind mole rat), 104 nucleotides. RefSeq annotates it as small nucleolar RNA U13. The record is from RefSeq and is a predicted model, not a curated record. Lineage: Eukaryota; Metazoa; Chordata; Mammalia; Rodentia; Spalacidae. The transcript has a single exon.
AUCCUUUUCUUUGUUCAUGAGCAUGAUGAUUGGGUAUUCAGGCAACUGCAUGCUAUGUGCUGUCCUGAAACCUUCUUACACAUUGGCACAUUACCUGUUUGGUG